RNAcentral lists this long non-coding RNA (681 nucleotides) under Capsicum annuum. RNAcentral's name for it is "long non-coding RNA (CANN_LNC020452)". Lineage: Eukaryota; Viridiplantae; Streptophyta; Magnoliopsida; Solanales; Solanaceae. The record is from RNAcentral.
ACAUCUUCAACUAUGAAACAUAAGAAAAGGAUAGAAUUGAGAAAGGGACCUCUAAAGAUUCAGAUUCUGAUCGAUAAUAACGAAUAAAAGAAGCCAAAUCCUAAAUUCUCGAACAAAAAAUAAACCUCAACAACGGCUGAAACAAGUCAGAGCUAAACAACCCGAAUUCACAAUCCGAUUCAAAUACCAAAUCCACAAAACCACUUGAGAGUACUCAACACCAACACUGAACAAACCAAAACUAAACCGAACUUACUAACCCAAACAGACCAAAGAUGACCUCGAACAAACUGAAACCAAAUUCAAAACAGCCGGAAUCAACCCAAAACAGUUCAAUUUUGGGCUGGUUUUAACGAUUCGAUCUUGGUUUUCAGUGAUGGAGAUGGUUUGGAUGAGUUUUCGAUGGGUUUUGGAGUUAAAUCGGAACUAGUGUAGUGAUUUUUGGUGAAGAGUGGCUGAAACACUCGAUCUCUGGCUAAGUUCUUCUCUCUCGUCUCUCUCUGUUCUCUCCCUCUCUCUCGAUCUACCUUAUUUCUGGCAUGUGUUUAUGGACUUCCCCAAAUCCCUGUGCAGUCCCCGUAUCCAAUAAAUGGAGAUUGUAGUGCAUUUUUUUUUGAACCGGUUCCUGUGUGUGAACGUGUUCGAAGAUAAAGAAAGAAAGGAUGAAUAUGGUGAAUGAAG